GUGAGGAAUUUUCCGCAAUGGGCGAAAGCCUGACGGAGCAAUGCCGCGUGAAGGAUGAAGGCCUAUGGGUUGUAAACUUCUUUUCUCAGAAAAGAAUUAUGACGGUAUCUGAGGAAUAAGCAUCGGCUAACUCUGUGCCAGCAGCCGCGGUAAGACAGAGGAUGCAAGCGUUAUCCGGAAUGAUUGGGCGUAAAGCGUCUGUAGGUUGUUUAAAAAGUAUUCUGUCAAAGAUUAGGGCUUAACCCUAGAUAGGCAGAAUAAAAUUGUAAGCUAGAGUUUGGUAGGGGCGGAGGGAAUUCCCGGUGGAGCGGUGAAAUGCGUAGAUAUCGGGAGGAACACCAAAGGCGAAGGCACUCUGCUGGGCCAAUACUAACACUGAGAGACGAAAGCGAGGGGAGCAAAUGGGAUUAGAUACCCGAGUAGUCC
Molecule: ribosomal RNA, 426 nt
Filed under: uncultured bacterium
Lineage: Bacteria
Description: bacterial SSU rRNA
Rfam family: Bacterial small subunit ribosomal RNA
Source: RNAcentral